RNAcentral lists this ribosomal RNA (319 nucleotides) under uncultured Actinomycetes bacterium. RNAcentral describes it as "bacterial SSU rRNA". It matches the Rfam family "Bacterial small subunit ribosomal RNA", at positions 28 to 351 of the family's 1533-position model. The record is from RNAcentral. Lineage: Bacteria; Bacillati; Actinomycetota; Actinomycetes.
GACGAACGCUGGCGGCGUGCUUAACACAUGCAAGUCGAACGGUAAGGCCCUUCGGGGUACACGAGUGGCGAACGGGUGAGUAACACGUGGGUGAUCUGCCCUGCACUUUGGGAUAAGCCUGGGAAACUGGGUCUAAUACCGAAUAGGACUCCGGACUGCAUGGUCUGGGGUGGAAAGCUUUUGCGGUGUGGGAUGGGCCCGCGGCCUAUCAGCUUGUUGGUGGGGUGAUGGCCUACCAAGGCGACGACGGGUAGCCGGCCUGAGAGGGUGUCCGGCCACACUGGGACUGAGAUACGGCCCAGACUCCUACGGGUGGCUG